GAGUUUGUUGCCACCUUUUGCCAUGUGAAAACGCACAUUGAAGGGAGCAUCUUUACAAAAUGAUCCCUCACUAAACACUGAAUCUACUGGAGACUUGAUCUUGGAAUUUCCAGAUUUGUGAAUUUGCAUUUCACAAUCCAAAAACAGUAAUGCCCUUUGAAGAAAUACAGCUCUCAGUAACAGCACAGAGUCUGCUAGACUGUCCUGUCAAUGUCAGUGGGGUUGCCUAGAUUGAUUAUGGCCUGUUCCUUUGACAAGCACCUAAGGCCCCUGGAUUUCUCCAGGCACUCAUUAGUGUGACUGCUAAUCCCUCUCAAGGCCCUGAAGAUACUUCUUUAGAGAUCCAAAGAUAUUCAAGCUCUCUUUGUUCCUGCAUCUGAAGAAUGGGUUAAGAAUAGCACCUACCUUCGGACUGCUUUGAGAAUAAAGUAUUUAAUGUACAGCCCUCAGAAGUGUGCCUGCCUUAGAGCAGGCACCAUACAAUCCAUUGAGAGCUAUUGAAUAGAGCAAAAAGAUGAAGUAACGGUCUUCUGGAAAAUCUGUAUGCACAUAUA
Molecule: long non-coding RNA, 554 nt
Organism: Homo sapiens (human)
Lineage: Eukaryota; Metazoa; Chordata; Mammalia; Primates; Hominidae
Product: long intergenic non-protein coding RNA 2686
Source: Ensembl